RNAcentral lists this ribosomal RNA (1089 nucleotides) under Triticum aestivum (bread wheat). RNAcentral's name for it is "partial small subunit ribosomal RNA". The record is from RNAcentral. Lineage: Eukaryota; Viridiplantae; Streptophyta; Magnoliopsida; Poales; Poaceae.
ACUGCAAUCAUCCCACCUGGCCCCCUCCAUGCUCGCCAUGGAUAUGUGGUUCUCGGUGGUGAGCUCCCAAUGGUGUGCGAUGAGUGGGUUGUCGCCAAGCUCAUCCCCGAGGUUUCUACUGAGGAGUUUCACAGUGACAUCGCACUGAUCACCAACUUCUUGGAAGGGUGUGGAUGGCGCAUCAACUACACUUCUCGUUAUGGUAUGGGCACUGCCUUGAUUCAAUUUACUACUGCCUGCUCCAGAGACAUUGUUGUUAGUCAUAGUCCGUUUCAGAUCGAAGACUCUGUUCUUAGAAUUAGCAGACAUGAUAGAGGCAUUAAUUACCGCAACAUUACUUUCACUCAUGAUGUAUGGAUCUUGCUCAUGAACUACCCUCUCAAGUGUUGGGAUGUGGGUGUUAUCAGCCACACUGUUUCUCCUUAUGGACGCUUUUUGAUCUGGAACAAAGACCCGAGAGACAAAACGAGGGUUAUUAUCAAGCUCAGAGUUAUGAAUGUGGACACCAUACCUAUUAGCAUUGUUGUACUCAGAAAUCUUCAUGAUGUUGGUUAUGGUGACUCUUGGACCUACCCCACAUACAUUCUGUCUAGCGAGUUAAUUGGUCGGCAAGGUGGUGAUGACGAUCCACUGCCCCCCAAUGGUGGAAAUCCUCACCCUCUCCCUCAUGUUCAUGGAGGGUUUUGGCAUGAUGAGGUUUUAGGGAAUAUCCCUAUGGACCAAGUGGUAAUUAGUCCUCACAAUGAGAACCUUGGUGCACCUUAUGAAGAUGUACAUGCUGCCCAUAAUGAUCAUGUGAAUCAUGCUGCUGAUCAUACUGUUACAACUUCUGAUAUUGAUGGAGUUCAGGCUGUUGACCCCAAUGUCUCUGUACAUGAGGUUGAUCCUGACAUGGAGGAAGUGCAGGCUCAUACUCAUAUCCAUGCCAACACUCACUUUGUUGCCCCACAUGAGACACUCGGGCCUGAUUAUAUCCCAAUUGAUCCUAUGGCCUCUCAGCCCAGCUCCCAGGAUGAGCCCAGCCCUAUGUUCAUCCCCAACAAUAACUGCAUGAACUACAAUGACAUACCUCCUUCCAACAGUGCCUAG